UACGAAGGGUGCAAGCGUUACUCGGAAUUACUGGGCGUAAAGCGUGCGUAGGUGGUUUGUUAAGUCUGUUGUGAAAGCCCCGGGCUCAACCUGGGAAUGGCAAUGGAUACUGGCAAGCUAGAGUGCGGUAGAGGGUAGUGGAAUUCCUGGUGUAGCGGUGAAAUGCGCAGAUAUCAGGAAGAACACCUAUGGCGAAGGCAGCACUCUGGGACGGUACUGACGCUGAGACGCGAAAGCGUGGGGAGCGAACAGG
RNAcentral lists this ribosomal RNA (253 nucleotides) under uncultured bacterium. Its description in RNAcentral is "partial 16S ribosomal RNA". It matches the Rfam family "Bacterial small subunit ribosomal RNA", at positions 524 to 776 of the family's 1533-position model. The record is from RNAcentral.